This 372-nucleotide ribosomal RNA is filed under the name Triticum aestivum (bread wheat). Its description in RNAcentral is "partial small subunit ribosomal RNA". Lineage: Eukaryota; Viridiplantae; Streptophyta; Magnoliopsida; Poales; Poaceae. The record is from RNAcentral.
AUGGCACGACCGCCUCAUCAAAGUCGACCAUGUAAAAAUAUACAACCAUGGCACGACCGCCUCAUCAAAGUCGCCCAUGUAAACUAUACAAUCAUGGCACGACCGCCUCAUCAACGUCGCCCAUGCAGAAAUUUACAUCCAUGGCACGACCGCCUCAUCAAANNNNNNNNNGUAAAAAUAUACAACCAUGGCACGACCGCCUCAUCAACGUCGCCCAUGCGGAGAUUUACAUCCAUGGCACGACCGCCUCAUCAAAGUCGCCCAUGUAAAAAUAUACAACCAUGGCACGACCGCCUCACCAACGUCGCCCAUGUCAAAACCUACGACCAUGGCACGAUCGCUUCAUCAACGUCGCCCAUGCGGAGUAGAUGA